RNAcentral lists this transfer RNA (76 nucleotides) under Desulfosporosinus sp. Its description in RNAcentral is "tRNA-Thr". It matches the Rfam family "tRNA". From Rfam's summary of the family: Transfer RNA (tRNA) molecules are approximately 80 nucleotides in length. Their secondary structure includes four short double-helical elements and three loops (D, anti-codon, and T loops). Lineage: Bacteria; Bacillati; Bacillota; Clostridia; Eubacteriales; Desulfitobacteriaceae. The record is from RNAcentral.
GCCGAAGUAGCUCAGUUGGUAGAGCAGAUGAUUUGUAAUCAUCAGGUCGCAGGUUCGACUCCUGUCUUCGGCUCCA